RNAcentral lists this ribosomal RNA (449 nucleotides) under uncultured bacterium. RNAcentral's name for it is "partial 16S ribosomal RNA". It matches the Rfam family "Bacterial small subunit ribosomal RNA", at positions 29 to 523 of the family's 1533-position model. The record is from RNAcentral.
AACGAACGCUGGCGGCAGGCUUAACACAUGCAAGUCGAACGCAUCCUUCGGGGUGAGUGGCAGACGGGUGAGUAACGCGUGGGAACGUGCCCUUCAGUUCGGGAUAACCCAGGGAAACUUGGGCUAAUACCGGAUACGUGCGAGAGCAGAAAGAUUUAUCGCUGAAGGAUCGGCCCGCGUCUGAUUAGCUAGUUGGUGGGGUAAUGGCCCACCAAGGCGACGAUCAGUAGCUGGUCUGAGAGGAUGAUCAGCCACAUUGGGACUGAGACACGGCCCAAACUCCUACGGGAGGCAGCAGUGGGGAAUAUUGGACAAUGGGCGCAAGCCUGAUCCAGCCAUGCCGCGUGAGUGAUGAAGGCCUUAGGGUUGUAAAGCUCUUUCGUCCGGGACGAUAAUGACGGUACCGGAAGAAGAAGCCCCGGCUAAUUUCGUGCCAGCAGCCGCGGUAG